CUAAGACAUCAUUGUGAUGCCACUGCCAGAUUGCUGAGUUGAGUUGAGUUGAGUUGAGAAGCCUCUCACACCAAACCAAACCUUAUUCAAUUCUCUCUCUCUCUCUCUCAUAUCGAGAAUCCAACAGCAACAUGGCGGAAUCGUUUGAGCUUCCGAAUCGGUUAGCAAUCCUUCCUUUCAGGAACAAAGUCCUUUUGCCUGGCGCCAUCAUCCGAAUUCGCUGCACUUCCCCCAUCAGUGUAAAGUUGGUGGAACAAGAACUUUGGCAGCGAGAAGAGAAGGGGUUGAUUGGCAUCUUACCAGUACGUGAUGCUGCUGCUGAAAUUCAGCCCGCGGGUCCAGUUAUAUCUCACGGCAAAGGUACCGAUUCUCUAGACCAAAACUCAAAAGUUCAAGGUGGUUCAUCAGAUUCUCAAAAGCUUGAUGUGAAAAAUCAGCAUGAUGUUGUUCAUUGGCAUAACAGGGGGGUAGCUGCUCGAGCACUACACUUAUCAAGGGGAGUGGAGAAACCUAGUGGGAGAGUCACAUAUAUUGUUGUUCUUGAAGGUCUGUGCAGAUUUAGUGUCCAGGAACUAAGCACGAGAGGAACAUACCAUACUGCAAGGAUAUCAUCCCUGGAGAUGACUAAGACUGAGAUGGAACAGGUGGAACAAGACCCAGAUUUCAUAACAUUAUCUCGCCAAUUUAAAGCAACUGCCAUGGAGCUUAUUUCUGUUCUGGAGCAGAAACAAAAAACUGGUGGAAGGACGAAAGUUCUUUUGGAGACUGUUCCAGUUCACAAGUUGGCUGAUAUAUUUGUUGCUAGCUUUGAGAUAAGUUUUGAAGAGCAGCUAUCAAUGUUGGAUUCAGUUGACCCUAAAGUGAGGCUUUCAAAAGCAACAGAAUUGGUUGAUAGGCACUUACAGUCAAUACUUGUAGCUGAGAAAAUUACACAAAAGGUUGAAGGACAAUUGUCAAAAUCUCAAAAAGAAUUUCUUCUUCGACAGCAGAUGAGAGCUAUAAAAGAGGAACUUGGUGAUAAUGAUGAUGACGAGGAUGACCUGGCUGCCCUGGAAAGAAAGAUGCAAAAGGCAGGAAUGCCACAGAAUAUCUGGAAGCAUGCUCACAAAGAAUUAAGGAGACUCAAAAAAAUGCAGCCUCAGCAACCAGGGUAUAACAGUUCACGGGCUUACCUGGAUCUUCUUGCUGAUUUGCCAUGGCAGAAGGCUAGCAAAGAGCUUGAACUGGACUUAAGGGCUGCACAGGAGCGCCUGGACACUGAUCACUAUGGUUUAGUGAAGGUCAAGCAACGGAUAAUUGAAUACCUGGCUGUUCGCAAGCUUAAGCCAGAUGCAAGGGGUCCAGUAUUGUGCUUUGUUGGACCACCAGGUGUUGGAAAGACAUCACUGGCAUCCUCUAUUGCUGCUGCUUUGGGCAGAAAAUUUGUGCGCAUAUCCCUUGGUGGAGUCAAGGAUGAGGCUGAUAUUAGAGGGCAUAGGAGAACAUACAUUGGAAGCAUGCCUGGGAGGCUUAUAGAUGGACUGAAGGGUCUGAGAUUUAGACUGAUAGUUGCUUUUGUAUUUGAACUAAAGAGAGUAGCUGUUUGCAAUCCUGUCAUGUUGAUUGAUGAAAUUGACAAGACAGGGUCCGAUGUUCGUGGAGAUCCAGCUUCUGCAUUGCUAGAGGUUCUUGAUCCGGAACAAAACAAAGCAUUCAAUGAUCAUUAUUUGAAUGUUCCAUUUGAUCUAUCCAAGGUAAUUUUUGUGGCUACAGCAAAUAGAGCACAACCUAUUCCUCCACCUCUCCUUGACAGGAUGGAGGUCAUUGAGCUUCCUGGAUAUACUGCUGAGGAAAAGCUCAAAAUAGCGAUGCAACAUUUGAUUCCAAGAGUUUUGGAGCAGCAUGGGUUGAGUUCUGAGUUUCUUCAGAUUCCAGAGGGGAUGGUGCAACUGGUUAUUCAGAGAUAUACUAGGGAAGCUGGUGUGCGCAAUUUGGAAAGGAAUCUAGCUGCCCUUGCUCGUGCUGCUGCAGUGAGAGUAGCAGAGCAAGAACAAGUAGUUCCACUAAACAAAGGGGUAGAGGGACUUUCCACCCCACUUCUGGAAAACAGACUUUCUGAUGGUGCUGAAGUUGAAAUGGAAGUGAUACCUAUGGGUGUCAACAAUCGUGACAUUUCAAACACAUUCAGGAUCACCUCUCCAUUGGUUGUUGAUGAAGCUAUGCUUGAAAAAGUGCUUGGGCCUCCAAAAUUUGAUGGAAGAGAAGCUGAGGAUCGUGUUGCUACCCCUGGGGCAUCUGUUGGGCUUGUUUGGACUACUUUUGGAGGAGAAGUUCAAUUUGUGGAGGCUACAGCAAUGGUAGGGAAGGGUGAAUUGCAUCUUACUGGACAACUGGGUGAUGUAAUCAAAGAAUCAGCUCAGAUAGCACUAACAUGGGUAAGGGCAAGAGCAACUGAACUUAGGCUAGCUGCUGCAGAAGGCAUUAAUCUGUUGGAGGGCCGUGAUAUACAUAUACAUUUUCCUGCAGGUGCUGUACCCAAAGAUGGGCCUUCGGCUGGUGUGACUUUGGUAACAGCAUUGGUAUCACUUUUCAGUCAGAGAAGAGUGAGAUCGGAUACAGCUAUGACUGGGGAGAUGACAUUGAGGGGUCUUGUACUACCUGUUGGCGGUAUCAAGGAUAAGAUAUUAGCAGCACAUCGAUGUGGUAUUAAGAGAGUCAUCCUGCCUGAAAGGAACCUGAAGGACUUGGUUGAAGUACCAUCAUCAGUACUGGCCGAUUUGGAGAUACUGCUUGCAAAACGUAUGGAAGACGUGCUAGAGCAAGCUUUUGACGGUGGGUGCCCUUGGAGACAACACUCAAAGUUGUAAUAGCAUCCUUGACUUGCACGUUAUGUGGCAAUCCCCGGUGGCUUAUGUAUUCAUUUAAAUCCUGAUCUAUGCUAUUGCAACAUUGUUGGUGAGUGAGUACUUAUCUCUUCAACUUCUUGUGAUUGAGCACAACUCUAGAAACCGACAGUUUUGGAAAGGAGCUGGCAUCUGCAUAUAUUCUUGAGACUCCACUCUCCAUAAUCUUUUGUGCUUGCUGCUCGUGAUGAUGUUCUGUAUUGGGUUCGAUCUGUUGCUUAUGAAAUUGGUUUUGUAGCAGCGAUUAUGAGAUCAGACAAAAAUAGUGGUAUUAGAGGAAGGACCUCAUUUGUUUUAACUGGUUAUUAAAGGAGUGGUCAGUAUAGGGUCAAGAAGAAAGAUUUGGUAAGAACAAUUAUUAACAGUAGAAAAUAUGGGUGUCCCUUUAAGUUGCGUCCGAAAUCAGUGGUAAUUUGGUAUUUUUUUAUAAAUAGUACCUAUAAAACAAACAGGUAUGGGCUGGCGUUACUUGAUAUUGUUGAUGUGACACCAACAGGGAUGACAUUCUCUGUUGUUUUUGCCUAUUUGGAGGGAGAACAUCUAAAUAAUGUUGUCUGGGCUUUACAAUGGUUUCGAGGUCUUUUUCUCAGAUGUGAUGCACUCUCUGGAGUUAUUAUUAUCGAUAGAGAUCUAGUAUUGAUAAAUGCAGUGAAAAUUGUAUUCCCUGAGGCUACCAAUUUGUUGUGUCGGUUUCACAUUGAUAAGAAUGUCAAUGCAAAGUGUAAAACCCUGGUUGGUCAAAAAAAUGCAUGGGAUUAUGUCAUGGAAGCCUAAGGGAGUUAGGUGGAUUGUCCUUCUAAGCAAAAGUUCAAUGAGUGUCUGAAGAAGUUUAAAAUUGUUUGCUCACCAUGGUCAAUGUUUGUUGAUCAUGUCAACCAAACAUGAUUGAUUCCCCACAAAGAAAGAUUUGUUAAAGUUUGGACGAAUAAGGUGAUGCACUUAGGAAACACAACUAACAUGUAUGAAAAUUAUAAAUUUCUGUUGUUGUUAGGGUUUAUGAUUGAAUGGAUAAAAAUAAUUGUGUUUGUUUACUUGAUUGUUUCUUUCAUAUGCAAGGUUGAGUUUGCUCA
RNA transcript from Glycine soja, 3952 nucleotides. It is a transcript of the gene named lon protease homolog 2, peroxisomal-like, with no coding region annotated. NCBI's taxonomy places the organism in Eukaryota, Viridiplantae, Streptophyta, Magnoliopsida, Fabales, Fabaceae. The record is from RefSeq and is a predicted model, not a curated record. The transcript has 18 exons.